GACAGAGGGUGCAAGCGUUGUUCGGAAUUACUGGGCGUAAAGCGUGCGUAGGCGGCCAUGUAAGUCAGGUGUGAAAGCCCCGGGCUUAACCCGGGAAGUGCACUUGAAACUGCGUGGCUUGAGUAUCGGAGAGGUUGGUGGAAUUCUCGGUGUAGAGGUGAAAUUCGUAGAUAUCGAGAGGAACACCGGUGGCGAAGGCGGCCAACUGGACGAAUACUGACGCUGAGACACGAAAGCGUGGGGAGCAAACAGG
Molecule: ribosomal RNA, 253 nt
Filed under: uncultured bacterium
Lineage: Bacteria
Description: partial 16S ribosomal RNA
Rfam family: Bacterial small subunit ribosomal RNA
Source: RNAcentral